Molecule: small RNA, 187 nt
Filed under: Porphyromonas cangingivalis
Lineage: Bacteria; Pseudomonadati; Bacteroidota; Bacteroidia; Bacteroidales; Porphyromonadaceae
Description: Bacteroidales-1 6S-Bacteroidales RNA suggested
Rfam family: Bacteroidales-1 6S-Bacteroidales RNA suggested
Source: Rfam by way of RNAcentral
GGUCGUGUCGGGCGAUCGGGAAACUCGUCAUUCUUUUACAAUUCCGAGAUCUUUGGCAAGCAUAAUGGCGGGCCGCAAUCUUUCGAGAUUAUCUCCGAAAGGGGGUACGGCGGAUUACAAAGUGUACGUCAACCUCAAAACUUGUUUUCUUGGAGUUUCGUCACAAUCUCCCGGCGCGGCUAUCAUA